GACGAACGCUGGCGGCGUGCCUAACACAUGCAAGUCGAACGGAGACAGCACGAAGCUUGCUUUGAGCUGUUUUAGUGGCGGACGGGUGAGUAACGCGUGAGGAACCUGCCUUUCAGAGGGGGAUAACGUCUGGAAACGGACGCUAAUACCGCAUGACAUUCCGGUGUCACAUGGCGCUGGAAUCAAAGGAGCAAUCCGCUGGAAGAUGGACUCGCGUCCGAUUAGCCAGUUGGCGGGGUAACGGCCCACCAAAGCAACGAUCGGUAGCCGGACUGAGAGGUUGAACGGCCACAUUGGGACUGAGACACGGCCCAGACUCCUACGGGAGGCAGCAGUGGGGGAUAUUGCACAAUGGAGGAAACUCUGAUGCAGCAACGCCGCGUGAGGGAAGACGGUCUUCGGAUUGUAAACCUUUGUCCCUGGUGACGAUAAUGACGGUAGCCAGGGAGGAAGCUCCGGCUAACUACGUG
This 470-nucleotide ribosomal RNA is filed under the name uncultured organism. RNAcentral describes it as "bacterial SSU rRNA". It matches the Rfam family "Bacterial small subunit ribosomal RNA", at positions 28 to 507 of the family's 1533-position model. The record is from RNAcentral.